Molecule: ribosomal RNA, 493 nt
Filed under: uncultured bacterium
Lineage: Bacteria
Description: partial 16S ribosomal RNA
Rfam family: Bacterial small subunit ribosomal RNA
Source: RNAcentral
AUUGAACGCUGGCGGCAUGCUUUACACAUGCAAGUCGAACGGUAACAGGUUAAGCUGACGAGUGGCGAACGGGUGAGUAAUGCAUCGGAACGUGCCCAGUCGUGGGGGAUAACGCAGCGAAAGCUGCGCUAAUACCGCAUACGAUCUGAGGAUGAAAGCGGGGGACCGUAAGGCCUCGCGCGAUCGGAGCGGCCGAUGUCAGAUUAGGUAGUUGGUGGGGUAAAGGCUCACCAAGCCAACGAUCUGUAGCUGGUCUGAGAGGACGACCAGCCACACUGGGACUGAGACACGGCCCAGACUCCUACGGGAGGCAGCAGUGGGGAAUUUUGGACAAUGGGCGAAAGCCUGAUCCAGCAAUGCCGCGUGCAGGAAGAAGGCCUUCGGGUUGUAAACUGCUUUUGUACGGAGCGAAAAGGUCUCCUCUAAUACAGGGGGCUUGUGACGGUACCUGCAGAAAAAGCACCGGCUAACUACGUGCCAGCCGCCGCGGUAA